GCCGCUUUAGCUCAGUAGGUAGAGCGUUUCCAUGGUAAGGAAAAGGUCGCCGGUUCGAUCCCGGCAAGUGGCU
This 73-nucleotide transfer RNA is filed under the name Aerococcaceae bacterium. Its description in RNAcentral is "tRNA-Thr". It matches the Rfam family "tRNA". From Rfam's summary of the family: Transfer RNA (tRNA) molecules are approximately 80 nucleotides in length. The record is from RNAcentral. Lineage: Bacteria; Bacillati; Bacillota; Bacilli; Lactobacillales; Aerococcaceae.